This 429-nucleotide ribosomal RNA is filed under the name Pseudomonadota bacterium. RNAcentral describes it as "Proteobacteria bacterium partial 16S ribosomal RNA". It matches the Rfam family "Bacterial small subunit ribosomal RNA", at positions 355 to 776 of the family's 1533-position model. The record is from RNAcentral. Lineage: Bacteria; Pseudomonadati; Pseudomonadota.
UGGGGAAUAUUGGACAAUGGGCGAAAGCCUGAUCCAGCCAUGCCGCGUGUGUGAAGAAGGUCUUCGGAUUGUAAAGCACUUUAAGUUGGGAGGAAGGGCAGUAAGCGAAUACCUUGCUGUUUUGACGUUACCGACAGAAUAAGCACCGGCUAACUCUGUGCCAGCAGCCGCGGUAAUACAGAGGGUGCAAGCGUUAAUCGGAAUUACUGGGCGUAAAGCGCGCGUAGGUGGUUCGUUAAGUUGAAUGUGAAAGCCCCGGGCUCAACCUGGGAACUGCAUCCCAAACUGGCGAGCUAGAGUAGGGCAGAGGGUGGUGGAAUUUCCUGUGUAGCGGUGAAAUGCGUAGAUAUAGGAAGGAACACCAGUGGCGAAGGCGACCACCUGGGCUCAUACUGCCACUGAGGUGCGAAAGCGUGGGGAGCAAACAGG